RNAcentral lists this long non-coding RNA (712 nucleotides) under Felis catus (domestic cat). Its description in RNAcentral is "lncRNA (ENSFCAG00000041593.2)". The record is from RNAcentral. Lineage: Eukaryota; Metazoa; Chordata; Mammalia; Carnivora; Felidae.
CCUGUUGCACGGAGUUCCGAACAUUAAUAAAUCCUCUCCUCCGCAAAACACUUUCACUUCCUAUCCCAUUCCUUCGGAAACCGGGAAGAGUAACAUGACCACAUUAAAGAGAGGGAUCUUACCGGCUCUUUGGCAAAACCUUAUUUUUAUUCUUUGAAAACAAGACGUUCAGAGGGGUUUUUGCUAUUUGCAGGAGCUGCCUGUUCUCAAAUAUCGCGAUCUCCAAGGAGCAGGGGCAAGUGGGGUCAGCAAGAAGGACCCUAGGGCUUCCGCGAGGCUUCCAGUUCCGUGUGUCUGCGCUUCUGCGUCCGCCGAGGACAACACUCAGCCAGGCAAUUGACUAUAUGACUCAGUCAGAUGGAGGCAAGGCUGACAACAUAGGACCGCUUCACUGUCACCCAGUCACAGAUGGCCAGACUGAAGGAAAGGAGCAGCUACGUUAUGAGGUGAGCAGAGACAAGUAAGCAUCCCAACACAUCCAUCCCACAGUACACGUGCACAUCUGGUACUGAUUCCCCACUUCCCAUCCGGGGAGGUGUGAGUGCGUGUGUGUGCAUGCGCGUGUGCACAUGCGCGUGCCUGUGCGAGUGUGCGAGUCAGAGCAAUCUAAGUGGGUGAGAAGCUCCAGCAAGCGGGCCACGGAGGAGGCGUAUGGGACAACUGGGACAAGGUGCAGUGGUACAAGUUAAGAGGAGGCUGCUAAGAAAAGUGC